RNAcentral lists this ribosomal RNA (366 nucleotides) under uncultured eukaryote. RNAcentral's name for it is "partial 18S ribosomal RNA". It matches the Rfam family "Eukaryotic small subunit ribosomal RNA", at positions 592 to 976 of the family's 1831-position model. The record is from RNAcentral.
CAAUAGCGUAUAUUAACGUUGUUGCAGUUAAAAAGCUCGUAGUUGGAUCUCUGGAGGGAGCGUCGGCCCGUAUUUACGAGUGCGUGACGUCUCUGUCCAUCCUUGCGGGAAGGCACGGCAUUGAUUUGUUGUGUCGGAUCGCAUCGUUUACUGUGAAAAAAUUAGAGUGUUCAAAGCAGGCUUUCGCUUGAAUACAUUAGCAUGGAAUAAUAAGAUAGGACUUUGGUGCUAUUUUGUUGGUUGAGCCUAAAGUAAUGAUUAAUAGGGAUAGUUGGGGGCACCUGUAUUGCGUUGUCAGAGGUGAAAUUCUUGGAUUUACGCAAGACAAACAGCUGCGAAAGCGUCUGCCAAGGAUGUUUUCAUUAA